GUAGCAAGCUUGUUAACAAGUUGUGACAACGCUGUUCCAACAACUUGUCAACAAGAUGUGUUUCCAAUAAGCUUGUAGCAAGCUUGUUAACAAGUUGUGACAAUGCUGUUCCAACAACUUCUUAACUAGAUGUGUUUGCAAUAGGUUUGUAGCAAGCUUGUUAACAAGUUGUGACAAUGCUGUUCCAACAACUUGUUAACAAGAUGUGUUUGCAAUAGGUUUGCACCAAGCUUGUUAACAAGUUGUGACAAUGCUGUUGCAACAACUUGUUAACAAGAUGUGUUUGCAAUAGGUUUGUAGCAAGCUUGUUAACAAGUUGUGACAAUGCUGUUCCAACAACUUGUCAACAAGAUGUCUCCUCAAC
Non-coding RNA from Paramuricea clavata, 364 nucleotides. Lineage: Eukaryota; Metazoa; Cnidaria; Anthozoa; Malacalcyonacea; Plexauridae. The record is from the annotation of a GenBank genome assembly.